Molecule: long non-coding RNA, 2646 nt
Organism: Oncorhynchus gorbuscha (pink salmon)
Lineage: Eukaryota; Metazoa; Chordata; Actinopteri; Salmoniformes; Salmonidae
Exons: 3
Source: RefSeq, a predicted model, not a curated record
AGUCCUCUACUACUCAAUGGGAAUGGCACAUGCCAGAGCCUUAUACUUGGAUAUAAAAGACUUAUAUUUGCAAAGAAAAGCCUUAUAUUUGUAUAUAAGUACAAGGCUUUGGCCCAUGCCAAAAGCAAAGCACAGCUUGUCUGAGUCGUGUCCAGCAGCUCCACAUUUGAACUCCAACAAUGGGGCCUAAAAAGACUCUGAGAGUCCUUAAAAGGAAAAUAAUUGAAUAGCCAUGCGUUGGAGAACAAACCUGGGUUCUAAAUUUGUCAUUUUUGUGCUGCUUAUUAAGACAAAGCUGUUCCCUUAGAGGAAAGAAACUCUGAACAGUUUCUGCAUUAUGGCAGGUAGGUACAGUUAGUGCUAUUAAUCUCUGGCAGGCCUCAUUGGGCAUGUGGGCCCGGCAGCCUCUCCUGCCUGUGGAGGAAGAAGGCUUAGCGUAUUUCAUUGUUGUAUUUUCCAUACAUAUCCUCAUCCUUGUCAAGGCAAUAACAAAUGUGUCUUGAUAAGGGUCUGAAAGUAGUGACGAGGAGUGAGUGAUCGGGCAGCGAGGCGCUCUGUGCUUUUUGGGUUUUGACAAAGUAUUUCAGGGAGCUGUCAUUGGAUGGAAGAAGGAAGCAGCAGAGCCGAGUAGAGGCCAGGGAAUGAUCUAUCUGUAGCAUUCCAAUCAUAGAACGGAAUAACUUUGUACUUGACAUUUAACUGGGUCAGCUGCUGGUUUGUGGAGGGAUUUAUUUUCUGAAGUUGGUUUUGGAUGGUUCCAUGUCAGUCAGUACUCUCUCUGUCUGUUGCUGGAUCUGAACAUUGAAUUAUUUGGAUAGUUUGGGUGGAUUGGGGGUGAUUUUGUGGAUGACAUUAUUGUAAGCAGUUUAUCGGCCAUGAACAGAAUACUAUAAAGGGAACAGUUAAUUUAAGGAAACCGUUUCCUCAACCCAUUGUCUUAUUAUACCUUAUUUCCCGUUGGAUCUACAAGCCCUCUGUAAUGGUUAUAUGGUUACUUCUUAUCUAGGCCUAUACAGUGCGGUACUGUAUGUAUGCACUAUGACCACUAUUCACUCUUGCCUGCAUGCUUAUUAGGCCAUCUCACCACCUCAAUAAGAAAUGCAUUGGUCAUACUGACAUUGUCAUUUGUGUUGUUUCCCAGUGCAGGCAUGUGUGGCACAUUUUAAACGCAUGAAAGCCAUUGAGGGCAUUGCAAAAACAGAGUUUCUAUCCAAACCCAAAUUGUUUAAAUGGUUAAAUAAUUUAACAGUGCACCAGAGAGGUAUAUAGCCAGAUGUGCCCAGGCUUUUCUGAAAUGAGCUAGCUUCACAUUCCAGCUCAGGCUUCAUCCGUAUUACGACGGUGGAUAUUGCUCAUUCGCCUGCCGCUAACUCUAGCAGGCUUGUAACUGCGUGUGCAUAUCGCACGCAGUGUUGCCAACUCCUCAGUAAGAAAAGUAGCUAUUGGCUGUCCUAAAAUUCGCUAGAAGUCGCUAAAUGACAUCAUCGCCUAAUUUGCAUAAUUGGCCAUGUGCAUGUAAUUGUGAUGGACGCUGAGGCGAGAGGAAUAAGGUCGUGGGAGAGACAAAAAGCAUUUUUGGACGCCGAUUACAUUGCAAACCACGAGGAGACUACGUGGCAGGCUGUGACCACCUGUUACGCGAGUGCAGCAAGGAGCCAAGGAAGAGAAUGGAGCACCAUGUUGAGGAUGGAUUAAGCUACUUCCUGUUGCCGCAGUAAGCUCAACCUCAACACAGGAGAGCAUCCCUGUAAGGUCAUGAUGGGUUGUGUGGAAGGACGGUUAGCUAGCUCAGUUGCAGUCCACGGUUAUGUGAGGGCUGUAGGUAAUGAUUUUAUAUGGAAGAAAGGCCUUGUUCUCUGUGGGACCUAGUUUUCACUGUGAAGAGUUGAAAUUGGUUGACACUCAUGUCCCAUUGAUUGGAAAUGUAUUGACAUAAGGAUCAAGCCUGUGACCCUCAUUUUUUCCCAUUGAAUGAAAUGGAUUGACGGAAGUGUCAAUUGGUUGAAACUCAUAUUUUCUCAUUGAAUGCAAUGUAUUGACAUAAGCAUCAACCCUGUGACAUCUUUUCCCAUUGAAUGCAGUGAAUUGACAUAGGCGUCAAUUGGGUGACACUUACCUUUUCGCAUUGACUGCGGUGCAUUGACGUAAGCGUCAACCUUGUGACGCUCUUCUUUUCCCGUUGAAUGCAGUGUGGGGAAAUGUUCUGAAUGGACAUAUGGGUACAGGAAGAAUCAGCAAACUCACUCACGCACACCCCUGUAAAUGCACCCGUCAAUCAAAACCGCCAGCGUGUUUCAGACACAAGCAAAUAUUUCUCCUUUCCUUAAAAUGUGUUUUAAAACAAUCUAGGCCUACCUUUUGUUUUCAAGAAAGUAGGCUACAAUAUAAUGAGUUGACAAGUAAGGUAUGACGGGGAUGGUUUAUACUAUGAAGAUUAAAUUGACUAUCAUUCAAAUAGAACCAAGUAAAAGCAACAUGUCCAUAGCCUAUUUAUCAGUGAAGCUGAUUACUGAGGGGGGGUGUAGGAAAGAUUGUUCAAGUACUGUGAGAUAUAUAUAUAUAUAACGGACUUUGUUGACUUACUGCACCAUGUGACGCGAAGAAAAUAAAUGACUGAGAAGCCUGGCUUAUUAGCCCAACCACAUG